Chelmon rostratus (copperband butterflyfish) is the source of this 1931-nucleotide non-coding RNA. Lineage: Eukaryota; Metazoa; Chordata; Actinopteri; Chaetodontiformes; Chaetodontidae. The record is from the annotation of a RefSeq genome assembly.
AGUUGAACAUGAUGGACUAUAGGACAGGACUGCUGCUGUUAACUAUCUGCUGGGCAGGUGUUGAUGGUCAGACUCUGACACAAUCUGAACCAGUGGUUAAAAGGCCUGGAGAAUCUCACAGAUUGACCUGUACAGGCUCUGGAUUCACACUCAGUAGCCACCAUAUGAACUGGGUCAGACAGGCUCCUGGAAAAGGACUGGAGUGGGUUGCUUAUAUCAGUAGUAGCAGCAGCUACAUCUACGACUCUGAGUCAGUGAAAGGCCGGUUUACCAUCUCCAGAGACAACAGCAGACAGCAGGUGUAUCUGCAGAUGAACAGUCUGAAGACUGAAGACUCUGCUAUUUAUUAUUGUGCUCGAGCUGGGGGUUACUACGAUGCUUUUGACUAUUGGGGAAAGGGUACAACGGUAACUGUUUCGUCAGCCACCUCAACUGCACCAACUGUGUUUCCUCUGAUGCAAUGUGGUUCUGGUACUGGAGACAUGGUCACUGUUGGCUGUCUUGCCACCGGCUUCACACCCUCCUCACUGACCUUCUCAUGGAGCAAAAAUGGGGCAGCCUUGACAGACUUCAUUCAGUAUCCUGCAGUACAAAAAGGCAACGCUUAUACGGGAGUCAGUCAAAUUCGAGUGAGGAGACAGGACUGGGACGCAAAGCAGCCUCUGCAAUGUGCCGUGACACAUCCAGCAGGGAAUGCAGAAGUUGAAAUACUGCCACCAGCACCACCGACACCACCAACACCCGUGAUUGUUCAGUUGCCAACACUGAGAGUGUUGGGCUCCUCUGAUGAUGAAAACGAGGCUUCCUUCUCCUGCUUUGCCAAAGAUUUUUCACCUAAACAUUAUGACAUCAAAUGGCUGAAAAAUGAUGAGGACAUCUCCAACAAAUUAUACGAGAUCAAAACACCUUCUCAGGACAGAAAGGAUGAGACUGGAAGGACACUGUACAGUGCUGCAAGUUUUCUCAGAGUGCCGUCCAGUGAUUGGAGACAGGAUGGCACGACUUUUACAUGUCAGUUUCAGGGGAAAGAUGAAAAAAACAUGGCAACUUUCAAGAAUUCAUCUGUGACCUACAAACAUCAUGAUACAACAACUGUUGGCUGUGCUGAAGCAGAUGUGGACAUAAAGAUCAUUGGUCCGACACUGGACGACAUGUUUUUAAACAGGAAAGGAAAGAUAGUAUGUCGAGUCCAGGUAAACAAGCCAUCUCUUGGGAAGAUUUUGUGGGAAGACGAACAUGGAAACGAGAUGGUUGGUUCCUCAACGACGCCUGUUAAAGAAAAUUCAAACACAUAUAAACUUUCACUUGACAUCUCGUAUGAUGAAUGGAGCCAGGGGAUAAAGCGCGUCUGCAUUGUUGAACAUACAGACUGGAUUGAGCCAUUUAAGAAACUCUAUGAAAGGAAUAUUGGAGGACAGACUCAGCGUCCUUCAGUAUUUAUGCUGCCUCCAGUAGAACAUACUAGAAAAGACAUGGUGACCCUGACUUGCUAUGUGAAAGACUUCUUCCCUCAGGAGGUUUUUGUGUCUUGGCUUGUUGAUGACGAGGAAGUAGACUCAAGCUAUGAGUUCCACACCACAAACCCUUUAGCAAACCAUGGAUCCUAUUCUGCUUAUGGCCAGUUGUUGCUCAGCCUUGAGCAGUGGCGAAAGAAUGAUGUGGCGUACAGCUGUGCAGUUCACCACGAGUCUAUGGCUAACACGACUAAAGCUAUUAUCAGGUCCAUCGAGCACAGAACAUUUGAAAAAACCAACCUGGUCAACCUCAACAUGAACAUCCCUGAAGCGUGCAAGGCCCAGUAGAUGUUAUUUUGUGUCGCUGUGUCUUCUGCUCUUUGUUGUUGAAUGUUUGUUGCUUGUGAUGUGACAUCGUGUUCGUCUUUUUAAUGCAGAUUCAAAAUCAAAAUAAAAAAAAAGCACUUUGCAACUCUG